Molecule: RNA transcript, 3322 nt
Organism: Rhea pennata
Lineage: Eukaryota; Metazoa; Chordata; Aves; Rheiformes; Rheidae
Gene: PPME1
Gene name: protein phosphatase methylesterase 1
Exons: 15
Source: RefSeq, a predicted model, not a curated record
GCUUCCGGCGGGCGGGCCGGAGCGGGGGUUGGCGGCGGCGGCCGAGGCGCUCGGCGGGGCCGGUCUGGGGGCUGCUCGUGUGUCCUUGCGCGCCGUCCGCCGUCAUGUCGGCUCUGGAGAAGCAGCUGCACCUGGGGCGCCUCCCGCCGCGGCCCCCUUUGCCCGGCGGCGGCGGCGGCCAGUCUGGCUCCAAAAUGCGCAUGGGCCCUGGAAGAAAACGUGAUUUUUCCCCAGUACUUUGGAACCAGUAUUUUGAAUCUAUGGAAGAUGUUGUGGUAGAAAAUGAAACUGGCAAGGAUACUUUUCGAAUUUACAAAAGUGGAUUGGAGGGGCCUGUCUUGCUGUUGUUACAUGGUGGAGGCCAUUCUGCUCUUUCCUGGGCUGUUUUUACUUCUGCAGUCAUUAACAGGAUUCAGUGUAGGAUUGUGGCUUUAGAUCUCCGAGGCCAUGGAGAAACAAAAGUUAGGAAUCCUGAAGAUCUUUCUGCAGAAACUAUGUCAAAAGAUGUUGGAAACGUGGUUGAAGCUCUGUAUGGGGACCUCCCUCCCCCUAUCAUGCUGAUUGGGCACAGCAUGGGUGGUGCCAUUGCAGUGCACACAGCGGCGGCAAAUUUGGUGCCAAGUUUACUGGGUUUGUGCAUGAUAGAUGUAGUGGAAGGUACAGCCAUGGAUGCACUGAACAGCAUGCAGAACUUCUUAAGGAGUCGUCCCAAAACGUUCAAGUCGCUUGAGAAUGCAAUUGAGUGGAGUGUAAAAAGUGGACAAAUAAGAAAUCUUGAAUCUGCAAGAGUUUCUAUGGUCGGUCAAGUCAAACAGUGUGAAGGAGCUGCCAGUCCUGAAUGUCCUAAAGCCAUAGUGGAGGGCAUUAUUGAAGAGGAAGAGGAGGAAGAUGAUGAUGAUGAAGGGGGAGGCUCUGUCAACAAAAGGAAGAAAGAAGAUGACACAGAGACGAAGAAAGAGCACCUAUACACGUGGCGAAUUGAAUUGGCGAAAACAGAAAAGUACUGGGAUGGUUGGUUCAGGGGUUUAUCUAACCUCUUCCUAAGCUGUCCAACUCCAAAGCUGUUGCUUUUAGCUGGUGUUGACAGACUGGAUAAAGAUCUAACAAUUGGACAGAUGCAAGGGAAGUUUCAGAUGCAAGUCCUCCCGCAAUGUGGCCAUGCGGUCCAUGAAGAUGCUCCAGACAAGGUUGCUGAAGCUGUUGCGACGUUCCUGAUCCGUCACAGGUUUACAGAGCCCAUCGGUGGAUUCCAGUGAAUGAACUACAGCAGCCAGGCCUCUGCAGUCAGCCAUACAGCAAUGAGAGUAGGUGUGUGUUUCCUGCUUGUUAAUACCCUGGUGUUCUCGUUAAUACCCCGGUGUUCUUCAGCACUGAGUCCCAUUGUAAAUAAACUGCACCAGAGGCCACUGUGAUGUAUCCAUAUCCUUUCAUCUCUCCAGUUCAGCAGCAAUGAGAAGUUGGUGUGAGAUUCAUCCCCUAGAACUAGUUCUCCAGGAUGUGUAAAUGGUUAGGGACUUCCUUGCUGGGAAGCAGCUUGUGUUGAAGAUCAUGCAAAGCUCUCCAGACCUGUGGAAGCAGGCUCCUCUCUGCUGCCGCAAGGAAAGACCUCCUGAAAUCCCGAGUAGUCAGUCAUACCAAUCUCCGUGAAUUCUCAGGCUUUUUUGGACCCAACUGCAAAGGGGCUGUUGGAAGUCCAGAUCCACAGAGGGCAUUGCAGCAAAUCCAAAGGCUUCAGGAUUUCUCCAUGGAAUCGCCUAAUCGUCUUUGAAAUGCCCCUUAGGUUUGUUUUGUUUUUUUUUUUUUUUAAUAUAUGUAUUUCUUUCCCCCAAAGCAGACAAGGAAUUGGCUUCAUUGGGAGCUCAGGGUUCAUCUCACCAAGGCCAGCCUUAAGGGUUAAGCUGUGGGAAGAGCCCAGAUGCUACUUUCCUGUUCAAAUUUGGACAGGAGUGUGAAGCAGAAAGGUGGGAGGGGGGUCUGGGAGCUCCAUUUCAGAGAGUCUUGCAGCCUUCUCAACAUUUGUUUCAGGUUCUCAGUGAGACACAUAGCCUCAGUAACUCAGUCCACUGCGGGCGUGUAACAGGCAGGGGACUCUGGCCCGCGGUCAUGGGGAAGACCCAAGAGCAGCGGUAACAAUGUGAUCAACAGGCCCUUUGCCUAUUUGGCCGUUCCCUGCCUCCGGAGUGGGUUUGUGCUUCCCUUCUUGUUGCCGCUACACUCAACUGAGCGGAGACCAGCACCUUUUGGAUGAAAAGAUGCAAAAACGUGCAGCAGAUACAAUAUUGGAAGAGCCUGGAGUCAGUCCUGCUAAUGUUGGCACAGGGUUGUAGGCAACUGCUUACUGGGUAAUGCUCCUCCCCAGUACUGGAGGAAAGACACUUCCUUGACUUUUCACUGAUGCUUCCUAGACGUUUUGCUGCCUGCCUGCCGUGUUUCCAUGUAAAAGCAGUAGUUACACAGAGAGCUGUUCUUCAGGGUUUGUCCCUAGGCGGUUUGUCAGAUUGGUUUCACUUCUCCUUAAAAAAAAAAAAAAAAACAACAACAAAAAAAGACCCCCCAAAACCCCCUCACUCCCGAGCAUAAGAGCAGACACGUUUUGGAGCUGUUUUCCUCUCUAUGUUGCUGGUCUUCUGAAUUUUUUUUUUUUUUUCUUGCCUUGCAUCCGUAGCGCGCUCGUGCUGUAUGAUGAAAGCGGUGUUUCAACGCUGCUUUGCUGAAGCAUAGGUCUGCUGCUGGCCUGGUCGCGGGAGCUGCAGUGGGUGGCUGUAAAUACGUCCGGUGCCAAGAGCCGUAACGACCGCUUUGCGUUUGGGAGGUGCAGGUGGGGGAAGAGGGAGCGCCGUGAAGAGCUGCUGAAGGCCAGCUGACCGCGGGGAUUUAUCCCGACAGAGAGCUGCUGUUCUCUUCCGCUUCGCUCGCGGGUGAGGCCUGGGCGCAGCAAGCUGGGGCCUCGCUCUGUGUCCCUUCGCUGACGCACUGGGGCAGGAGCCGCCUGAACUGGAAACAGGAAAGCCCAGUUCCAGAGAGCGCCGCUUGCCCCUGGCCCGUAGGCUGUUGGCACGCAGGUGUUGAAAGAGCAGUUUGUGGCUCCUGGCGUUUUUUCUCCGUAAGUCACCGUGUUAAUUAUUGUAUUAGUUUACUGUGACCUUGAUAACGUCCAUCCCGGUUUUAGCUGCGAGCCGAUUAAAACGGUCUGCAGCGGCCGAGUUCUGAAAUUAAAUUCUGGAGAAGCACGACUUUGUCCAGAUGCAUCCUGGAGACUGGCAAGAUCCUCGGUCCUUCCCAGAUCGCUCCUGUGGCUAAAUCAUUAGAAACUAAACGAGCA